CAGGGGGUAUUUUAUUUAAAAUAUUAGUUUUGGGGACUAAUGAAACAGUAUAGUACUUUUCCUCUGA
Molecule: transfer RNA, 67 nt
Filed under: Labidotermes celisi
Lineage: Eukaryota; Metazoa; Arthropoda; Insecta; Blattodea; Termitidae
Description: tRNA-Pro
Source: RNAcentral